RNAcentral lists this non-coding RNA (806 nucleotides) under Hydropsyche rhomboana. Lineage: Eukaryota; Metazoa; Arthropoda; Insecta; Trichoptera; Hydropsychidae. The record is from RNAcentral.
AAAUUAUUUCUGGUUUUUUAUUUAUUAUAUGUUUGAAUUAUAUGUAAAUUUUAUAAAAAUUAUAAUAAAAUUUUAAAAAAAUUUAUUUUUAAAUUUAUAUAAUAAUUAAUUUUAAAUAAAUUUUAAAUAAAUUUAAAUUUAUUAAUAUUAAUUUAAUUUUUAAUGAAAAUUGUGCCAGCAAUUGCGGUUAUACAAUUAAUGAAAGUAAAUAAUAAUUUUAAUUUUUAAAUAGAUAAUAUAAGUUUAAAGUAAUAAAUUUAAUUAAUUAGGUAAAAUUAAAUAAUUAAAAUUAAAAAUUUUUAUAGUUUUUUUAAUUUUUAAAAAAAUUAUAAAUAAAACUAGGAUUAGAUACCCUAUUAUUAAAAUUAAUAAUUAAAAAAUUAAUUUAAUUAGUAAAAUUAAAAAUUUGAAAAUUUAAGAAUUUGACGGUAUUUAAAUCAAUUUAGAGGAAUUUGUUUAAUAAUUGAUAAUCCACAAUUAAAUUUACUUAUUUUAAAAUUUGUAUAUCGUUGUUAUAAAAAUAUUUUUUAAUAAAUAAAAAUAUUUAAAUAUUUAAAUUUAAAAUUAUAUCAAAUCAAGAUACAGUUUAUUGAUAAGAAUUGAAAUGAAUUACAAUAAUAUUUUUAAUUAUAAUAUUAUAUGUUUAAAAUAUUAAUAUUAAAUUGGAUUUAAGUGUAAUUUUUAAUAUUUAUUAUUUAUGAUUGAUGUUUUUAAAUAAGUACAUAUUGCCCGUCGCUCUCUAUUGUAAAUAAAUUUUUAAAUUGAGAUAAGUCGUAACAUAGUAGAAGUAUUGGAAAAUGUUUCUA